This 460-nucleotide ribosomal RNA is filed under the name uncultured bacterium. RNAcentral describes it as "partial 16S ribosomal RNA". It matches the Rfam family "Bacterial small subunit ribosomal RNA", at positions 338 to 795 of the family's 1533-position model. The record is from RNAcentral.
CCUACGGGAGGCAGCAGUGAGGAAUAUUGGUCAAUGGGCGGAAGCCUGAACCAGCCAAGUCGCGUGAGGGAUUAAGGCCCUGCGGGUCGUAAACCUCUUUUGCCGGGGAGCAGAGGUCCGGACGUGUCCGGGCCGGGAGAGUACCCGGAGAAAAAGCAUCGGCUAACUCCGUGCCAACAGCCGCGGUAAUACGGAGGAUGCGAGCGUUAUCCGGAUUUAUUGGGUUUAAAGGGUGCGUAGGCGGGCAUUUAAGCCGGCGGUCAAAUGUCGGGGCUCAAACCCGGCCUGCCGUCGGAACUGGGUGCCUUGAGUGGGCGAGAAGUAUGCGGAAGGCGUGGUGUAGCGGUGAAAUGCAUAGAUAUCACGCAGAACCCCGAUUGCGAAGGCAGCAUACCGGCGCCCUACUGACGCUGAGGCACGAAAGUGCGGGUAUCGAACAGGAUUAGAUACCCCAGUAGUC